CGCGUAGGCCGACAUGACAGUGCCUUGUGAAAUCCCCCGGCUUAACCGGGGAAUGGCUGGGCAUACUACAUGUCUUGAGGCAAGCAGGGGUGUGUGGAACUCUUGGUGGAGCGGUGGAAUGCGUAGAUAUCAAGAGGAACGCCGAAGGUGAAGACAGCACACUGGACUUGUCCUGACGCUGAGGCGCGAAAGCGUGGGGAGCAAACA
This 207-nucleotide ribosomal RNA is filed under the name uncultured bacterium. RNAcentral's name for it is "partial 16S ribosomal RNA". It matches the Rfam family "Bacterial small subunit ribosomal RNA", at positions 568 to 774 of the family's 1533-position model. The record is from RNAcentral.